GCUCGAACCACCUGGCUAUGCAGGUCACCGGAUCUAUAUUCGGGUAUUGUCAUAGUUCAGGGAAAAUGGCAACAAAACACUAUGAUUAGCAACAUUCACUAAAAGAUACUUACCAGAAACAGAAAACAUGCACGUGCUUGAACCAUGAAGCAUAACUUAGAAGCAAGAGAAAUGGAAACAAUAAGUUGCACUCCUACCCACCUUGAAAGCAAAUAUGAAACCGUGCUGAAUCCAUUCCCACCCAGUAAUGGCAAAAUUGGUCCCGUCUGUUAAAAACAACAUGACAACUGGCUUCUUUCCAUCAAAAUUUUCAACUUUCUUAAACAAAAUGAAUAUUUUCUGGCUUCUAAUGGCUACUUCAAAGUUUUUCUAUUCUUUCGAGCAAUGGCCAAUUCAAAGUUGCUACACUAUAGAAUGUGCAUUUUCUAUAUUAUUACUUAAAAAGAGGAGUUCAUGACAUUUUCCUGUUAAGGGUGUUUCUGUAAGACUCCUUCGUCACCCCAUAAUAAACAGGGCUACUGCCUCCAAAUGUUAUGAAGUUCCAACCAAAAACUGAACCACCAACAAUAUAACUCUUUCGUGUCCGGCGAUCAUCAAGCUUCAUCUGUGAGUUGAAAUUUGUAUGUGUUUUCUGUUCUGCAGGUUGUUCUGAUGGCUUGUUAUGCCGAAGCAACUCUGGUACUUCUCUAUCCUUUUGUCUGUCCCAGGAUUGUUUUACAGGCAUGCUUUUACCUGAGGAAGGCUGACAUUCCAACACAAACUUCUCAAGGGGAUCUAUCUCCAUGGUCAUCUGCUUGCAUGAAUCCAUCACAAGCUUCAUUUGUAUUCGAAGUUCAUGAGCUGCUUUACAAUUCCGAAAGUCAGGUGACUGAAGCACCUGCAUUGAGAAACAUUAUUUAGUUUGCAAAAAGAAAAAAGGCAUAUGUAAGACAUAACAAAGGGGAAAGGAGACCAUUAGGUUGAAUUACUCUAGGAUUCCUAGGGGAUUCCGUUAAAGAAAGCAGCAACAAUUGCAAUGGCUCUUGUUUCGUCAACUUUUAUAUCAAAAGUCAAAACUUUGCAUCAUAGAGUUAGAAGUAAUCAUGUAAUAAAAUAAAGUGCAUGAUAAAUGAUCACCACAGGUAUUAUGCAUACAAAAGUUUUAUAAAACUCAAGAUAACAAAGAUCCAGGGUUAUAUUCAAACCACUGAUCUAUAUGUGCCAUUUAUAAUUUUUUAUCAUUUUUGGAAUCCCUGAGAAUUACAAUAAGGGGAUAAUAAAUCAUAGGUCAGCCCACGGUAAGGUUUAUCAGUUCAAUCUCAUGCAUGCCAAUACUAAUCCCCUAGAUUCAUUGAAAUAAUUGAAAAACUAAAUGCCAUAGUGAAGAUAAUACAACUUCUAGCGAUCCAGCUACCUCUCUGUCCCUAAAUAUUGGGGGCUUUGCAAUGGCCUGGAUGAGCACAUCCUCAACUGCCUUUUCAAGAAAAAUGACGAAUAUUACUUCUUUACGUGCUUUUAAUAUGCCUCUCAUUGCACCCUGUAUUUAUGAUACUCUUCCUGAUAACAUCUGUUUCUCUACAUCUCGCGUUCAUUGCACUUGAUUGGACUACAGAUCUAGAAUUUAGUGUCCAUGCAGGGUUAAACAAAUUGGUACCACUGGUUGCAGUCGUUGGGUUUCACAUGGUGUCAACAUAUUACUUAAUCAUUCAAGUGCUUAACAAUGUACUAUUGAAAUGGAAAUAUACAAAUUCUUAAAUUUAAAAUAUAAGACAAAAUGAUAGAUCAAUAAUAACACGUGAAUGCUUGAAAUAAAGCCAACUUCUUGGUAAAAUAAUUCCCAAAAACAAAACUUAAAUUGUCUAUGCACCUGCUUCAAUCUCACAACCACACUUGCACUUUGCAGCACAGCCACUGCCCAUACCCAUUCAUAAGACUUAAGUUAAAAUAAUACACUAAGAAGCCAAGAAACCAUUUUUAACUGACAAAGACCAAGUUAAGAACAAACCUGAAAAUGGUAAGAUACAGAAGCCCAAAUAAAGGGCACACCUAGGCUCCCCAGUUACCAAGGGUCAAGGGGCAAUCAUUUAGCAAACACAGCCUCUCUUUUAAUAUUUUGCAGAGAGGCUAUUUCCACAAAAAUCUGUGACUUUACAGUCACAAAGGAGCAACCUUAAGGGUUACACCAAGAUUAACCCUCUAUGGAUGCCAAAUAACAUACCAAAAUUCAACUAUCAGCAACAAAAUUUUUAAGUUCUACCAUCAAUAAGAGAAUUAUACUGGCCCAUAUUGUAAAACAUAAUCCAAACUUGGUGAGCUUGCUUUGAAGCUCCAAAAAGCAUGGCCCACCAGUUACAGAAUGCAACAACCGUUCAGCAUACUAAGGUAAUCCAUAACCUCAAAAACUAUCAUGUGAAUUAUAGCUAAUUGAAAUAACACAAUAUUCCAAAUACUAGUGAUUGACAGAUUGUAAUUUGCAUUUAGAGUUAGGAAAAAAAUAGCAACAUAAAUUCUUCUUAGUUGUUUCCUUGAAUGGAUUAAUCAUGGAGCUAUUAUCCAUCAACAACUAGAUCUAAACCCAAAUAAGAAUUCACCAAAACAAGUAGCCACAGGUUCCCAUUUACCCCAAUAAAUUAAACAAAAAUAGACAAUAUAGAAAAAGCAAAAGGAAUCCAGAAGGGAAAAAAUAGUCAUAUCAGUUAUUCUCCAACAACAUUAGCACUUCAUAUCGAUUAAUUAAUAAACACAUAUAAUUUCUUAAUAUUCUGAAAUUAUACAAAAGCGGAGAAUUAGAAGAAAAAGAAGAUAA
This 2785-nucleotide unclassified non-coding RNA is filed under the name Hevea brasiliensis (rubber tree). The record is from RNAcentral. Lineage: Eukaryota; Viridiplantae; Streptophyta; Magnoliopsida; Malpighiales; Euphorbiaceae.